RNAcentral lists this long non-coding RNA (1376 nucleotides) under Homo sapiens (human). RNAcentral describes it as "non-protein coding lnc-CPVL-4:3". Lineage: Eukaryota; Metazoa; Chordata; Mammalia; Primates; Hominidae. The record is from RNAcentral.
GAGACCCGGAGGCUGAGGCUGUAGGUGGGCUCCGCUGGGUAAAAGUUGCCGCAGCAGCUGUCCCUUGGCCCCAUCGCGAUUUAUUUUUCCCCCUUGCUUUCCGGGUCCCGGGAUCCCAAGUUUGUAACUAACGGGAGCGAAUCCACACCCGAGCAAAAUGUUUGCGAGUUUCAGGCGCCCUUAGUUGAAAGGCUGUAAUUAACAAGUCCGCUGUUUGCCAGCCAGGCGCCGUUGCAGGCGCUUUCUGUGGAUUGUCAUUUAUUUCUCACAGCAACCCUAGGAGGCUGUUAUCCUUGACAUCUGCAGCAGCCCUUCCAAGCUGUGGAGACCAGGUCAUCUGGAAUGCCCAUUUAUGUCAAUGGAAGAAAGAAAAAGGGGUCUCCUCCCAUCCUCACCACUGCAUUCUCCCACCAACCCUGCUCCUGUCCCACUUCCCACAACUCAGUUGUUGACAAUUUAACAGUGGGUUUCUGGAAACAGUGCUGCCUCCUUGAUGGUCUAACUAACUACCAGAGUUAUUCUAACAGCAGGAAUUUCAAGCCAGGUAAGGGGAGCUAUGUCAGGCUGCCAGAUGGUGGGGAAGACAGGUGUGGGUGAGCUGGCUUCAGACUAAAGGAAGAGGAGAUCAAGUGUUGGAAUCACAUUUGAGAAAAGGAGUCAAGUGAACUUCAUUACCCAUUAUAGAGGCCUGUUAUAUCCUUUAGUGCUAUUUGGACUUGGAUUGAACCUGUGACAAAUCCUUUUCUUAUGCUUCUUCCAUCCCUGCUUCCAUGUUAUAUCCUUUCCCCUUCUAAAAUGGUAAUAAUGAGAAAUAACUAUUACUAAUUACCCUAGAACAUAAAUUUCAUUUAAGGUGUCACAAUCAGAUUAUCAUCUUCAGUUUUUCAGAGCCGCAAACUUCCCAUGGUUAUAUGCAGGUAGUACUAAAUGGAUGGAUCUGGGAUCAAACUCAGGGCUUUCUGACUUUAAAAGUCUUGUUCUGCUACCCUCCAAGUGGCCUAGGGUGAUUUGCCCUAAACGGUUCACCUCUGUAUGAUGAUGCAUCCAUGCAGUGGGGCUUAUGGAAAGUGAAUGUGGAGCCUCAGGGCCUUAAUCUUGAAGCAGGCUCUCUAGAAGGGAGCUUGCAGAAGGAGUGGGGACUCGAUGAGAUGCUGUUUUCUCAUUGUGUUUCAGUGAUGACUGAAAAUUUGUUGCCAGCGUCUAUCUGGAAACAAUGUUUUGAUGAUCCACCACCCCAUCCCUCCAAACCACUUUCUUGCACAUACUCCAGAAUAAUAGACAGAAGAAUUUAAUACAUGUGAUGCUUUGCCUUCCAUUUACACUAUCAUAAAUUACAAAGUAUUGUUCACUUCACAAAAUAAAACCAUUUCCAGAUA